This 254-nucleotide ribosomal RNA is filed under the name uncultured bacterium. RNAcentral's name for it is "partial 16S ribosomal RNA". It matches the Rfam family "Bacterial small subunit ribosomal RNA", at positions 524 to 776 of the family's 1533-position model. The record is from RNAcentral.
UACGGGGAUGGCAAGCGUUAUCCGGAAUUAUUGGGCGUAAAGAGAUGCGUAGGCGUUUUAUUAAGUCUUAAGUUAAAUCCUAGAGCCUAACUCUAGAACUGCUUAGGAAACUGAUAGAAUUGAGGAAAGCAGAGGAAGAUAGAAUUCUCCGAGGAGAGGUAAAAUUCGCUGAUACGGAGAGGAAUACCAAAUGCGAAGGCAAUCUUCUGGGCUUUUCCUGACGCUAAGGCUCGAAAGCGUGGGGAGCAAAACGG